This is a small nucleolar RNA of Erinaceus europaeus (western European hedgehog), 126 nucleotides long. Lineage: Eukaryota; Metazoa; Chordata; Mammalia; Eulipotyphla; Erinaceidae. The record is from Ensembl.
CUGGAGACUAAUGAGACAGAGUCCGUGCCGUCAAGCUGACUCCACCCUUAGCCUCCUACAUGAAAAGGUAGAUAGAACAGGUCUUGGUGCAAGAUAAAUUCAAGACCUACUUCUCUGCCAACAGCC